UCAUUAUGUCGUCGAUGGAUCUUGUUAUCCGCGCAUCCAACUCGAUUGGAUCCUUGGUUAUCCUACGACGUGAACUUAACAUCGUCGGUCUUCAACUCAAUCAGGUUGUAUUUCACCCUUCCAUCACUAUCAAUCCAAUCUUCCCGAAACUCGAUCUUACUCAUUCUUCUGUUAUCGGUAUCAGACACCAAUUCAUUCAACUUUUCUAUCAAGUUGACGAAAAAUGUGGCAUCAUCUGGAAGCUUGAAUUCAACAGGAGGAUUAUUUCUGUUGAAAUACACUUCUGCCUUAAUCAGAAAUUGUGAAAACGACAUUUUUUUUAGAUGUCUUUGUCUCUAA
This is a non-coding RNA of Vicia faba (fava bean), 339 nucleotides long. NCBI's taxonomy places the organism in Eukaryota, Viridiplantae, Streptophyta, Magnoliopsida, Fabales, Fabaceae. The record is from the annotation of a GenBank genome assembly.